AGCGGCGGACGGGUGAGUAACGCGUGGGUAACCUGCCUCAUACAGGGGGAUAACACAGGGAAACUUGUGCUAAUACCGCAUAACAUAACGAGGCGGCAUCGCUUUGUUAUCAAAGGAGCAAUCCGGUAUGAGAUGGGCCCGCGUCCGAUUAGCUAGUUGGUGAGGUAACGGCUCACCAAGGCGACGAUCGGUAGCCGAACUGAGAGGUUGAUCGGCCACAUUGGGACUGAGACACGGCCCAGACUCCUACGGGAGGCAGCAGUGGGGAAUAUUGCGCAAUGGGGGAAACCCUGACGCAGCAACGCCGCGUGAAGGAAGAAGGCCUUCGGGUUGUAAACUUCUUUGAUUGGGGACGAAGAAAGUGACUGUACCCAAAAAACAAGCCACGGCUAACUACGUGCCAGCAGCCGCGGUAAUACGUAGGUGGCAAGCGUUGUCCGGAAUUACUGGGUGUAAAGGGCGUGUAGGCGGGGCGCCAAGUCAGGUGUGAAAUUCCGGGGCUUAACUCCGGGUAUGCACCUGAAACUGGUACUCUUGAGUGUCGGAGAGGAAAGUGGAAUU
Molecule: ribosomal RNA, 561 nt
Filed under: uncultured Clostridium sp.
Lineage: Bacteria; Bacillati; Bacillota; Clostridia; Eubacteriales; Clostridiaceae
Description: bacterial SSU rRNA
Rfam family: Bacterial small subunit ribosomal RNA
Source: RNAcentral